GCCUGUGUGGCUCAGUGGUUGAGCAUUGACCCAUGAACUAAGAGGUCACCAGUUCGAUUCUGGUCAGGGCA
Molecule: transfer RNA, 71 nt
Filed under: Myotis davidii
Lineage: Eukaryota; Metazoa; Chordata; Mammalia; Chiroptera; Vespertilionidae
Rfam family: tRNA
About the family: Transfer RNA (tRNA) molecules are approximately 80 nucleotides in length. Their secondary structure includes four short double-helical elements and three loops (D, anti-codon, and T loops). Further hydrogen bonds mediate the characteristic L-shaped molecular structure. tRNAs have two regions of fundamental functional importance: the anti-codon, which is responsible for specific mRNA codon recognition, and the 3' end, to which the tRNAs corresponding amino acid is attached (by aminoacyl-tRNA synthetases). tRNAs cope with the degeneracy of the genetic code in two manners: having more than one tRNA (with a specific anti-codon) for a particular amino acid; and 'wobble' base-pairing, i.e. permitting non-standard base-pairing at the 3rd anti-codon position.
Source: Rfam by way of RNAcentral